AUUGAACGCUGGCGGCAUGCUUUACACAUGCAAGUCGAACGGCAGCGCGGGCUUCGGCCUGGCGGCGAGUGGCGAACGGGUGAGUAAUGCAUCGGAACGUGCCCAGUAGUGGGGGAUAGCCCGGCGAAAGCCGGAUUAAUACCGCAUACGACCUGAGGGUGAAAGCGGGGGACCGAAAGGCCUCGCGCUAUUGAAGCGGCCGAUGUCGGAUUAGCUAGUUGGUGGGGUAAAGGCUUACCAAGGCGACGAUCCGUAGCUGGUCUGAGAGGACGACCAGCCACACUGGGACUGAGACACGGCCCAGACUCCUACGGGAGGCAGCAGUGGGGAAUUUUGGACAAUGGGGGCAACCCUGAUCCAGCCAUGCCGCGUGCGGGAAGAAGGCCUUCGGGUUGUAAACCGCUUUUGUUCGGGAAGAAAUCCUCUGGGCUAAUACCCCGGGGGGAUGACGGUACCGGAAGAAUAAGCACCGGCUAACUACGUG
Molecule: ribosomal RNA, 484 nt
Filed under: uncultured bacterium
Lineage: Bacteria
Description: partial 16S ribosomal RNA
Rfam family: Bacterial small subunit ribosomal RNA
Source: RNAcentral